AAAUGUCGGGAGGCAGCAGUAGGAAAUCUUCCACAAUGGGCGAAAGCCUGAUGGAGCAACGCCGCGUGGGUGAAGAAGGUCUUCGGAUCGUAAAACCCUGUUGUUAGAGAAGAAAGUGCGUGAGAGUAACUGUUCACGUUUCGACGGUAUCUAACCAGAAAGCCACGGCUAACUACGUGCCAGCAGCCGCGGUAAUACGUAGGUGGCGAGCGUUAUCCGGAUUUAUUGGGCGUAAAGGGAACGCAGGCGGUCUUUUAAGUCUGAUGUGAAAGCCUUCGGCUUAACCGGAGUAGUGCAUUGGCAAC
RNAcentral lists this ribosomal RNA (305 nucleotides) under uncultured bacterium. Its description in RNAcentral is "bacterial SSU rRNA". It matches the Rfam family "Bacterial small subunit ribosomal RNA", at positions 340 to 633 of the family's 1533-position model. The record is from RNAcentral.